Molecule: ribosomal RNA, 498 nt
Filed under: uncultured bacterium
Lineage: Bacteria
Description: partial 16S ribosomal RNA
Rfam family: Bacterial small subunit ribosomal RNA
Source: RNAcentral
UGGGGAAUAUUGCACAAUGGGCGCAAGCCUGAUGCAGCAACGCCGCGUGAGGGAUGACGGCCUUCGGGUUGNAAACCUCUUUUAGUAGGGAAGAAGCGAAAGUGACGGUACCUGCAGAAAAGCACCGGCUAACUACGUGCCAGCAGCCGCGGUAAUACGUAGGGUGCGAGCGUUGUCCGGAAUUAUUGGGCGUAAAGAGCUCGUAGGCGGUCUGUCGCGUCUGCUGUGAAAAUCCCGAGGCUCAACCUCGGGCCUGCAGUGGGUACGGGCAGACUAGAUGCGGUAGGGGAGAAUGGAAUUCCUGGUGUAGCGGUGGAAUGCGCAGAUAUCAGGAGGAACACCGAUGGCGAAGGCAGUUCUCUGGGCCCGUAACUGACGCUGAGGAGCGAAAGCGUGGGGAGCGAACAGGAUUAGAUACCCUGGUAGUCCACGCCGUAAACGUUGGGCGCUAGAUGUGGGGACCAUUCCACGGUUUCCGUGUCGCAGCUAACGCAUUAA